UUUACCGGUUCUAAUCUUUUUUCCUCUAAUAUAAAGUGAACGAUAUCUCUAAACAACAAUAUCGCAGUGAUGGAGAAUAGAUUAGUUGUUGCUAAAGAUUAGAGUUGGGGGGAGAAUAUGCUUAUAAAGGGGUAAUUAAAAAACAUUGUCUUUGGUGAAUUAGAACAGAUCAGAAAUCUGAUUUUCAUGGGGGUUACACAGUGCAUUGUUGUUCUUGUUUAGUUGCUAAGUCAUGUCUGAAUCUUUUGGGGACCACAUGGACUAUAGCUUGCCAGGCUCCCCUGUCCAUGGAAUUUCCCAGGCAAGAAUACUGGAUUGGAUUGUCAUUCCUUUCUUCAAGGGAUCUUCCCAACCCCAAAUGGAACCCAUGUCUUCUGCACUGGAGAAUGGUUGGAUGACAUCCGACUCAAUGGAAGUGAUUUUUAGCAAAUUCUGGGAAAUAGUGAAGGACAGAUGACCUUCCUGGUUUUGAAGAUGACCAACAUAGAUAGUAUAUUCAAAAGCAGAGGCAUUACUUUGCCAACUAAGGUCCAUCUAGUCAAGGCUAUGGUUUUUCCUGUGGUCAUGUAUGGAUGUGAGAGUUGGACUGUGAAGAAGGCUGAGUGCCAAAGAAUUGAUGCUUUUGAACUGUGGUGUUGGAGAAGACUCUUGAGAGUCCCUUGGACUGCAAGGAGAUCCAACCAGUCCAUUCUGAAGGAGAUCAGCCCUGGGAUUUCUUUGGCAGGAAUGAUGCUAAAGCUGAAACUCCAGUACUUUGGCCACCUCAUGCGAAGAGUUGACUCAUUGGAAAAGACUCUGAUGCUAGGAGGGACUGGGGGCAGGAGGAGAAGGGGACAACCAAGGAUGAGAUGGCUGGAUGGCAUCACGGACUCGAUGGACAUGAGUCUGAGUGAACUCCGGGAGUUGGUGAUGGCCAGGGAGGCCUGGCGUACUGCGAUUCAUGGGGUCACAAAGAGUCGGACAUGACUGAGUGACUGAACUGAACUGAACUGAAUCAUUUGAAAAUUUAUGUGUACAUCAACGAAUCAGGUUGUUUACCUUAAAUAUAUACAAAUUUUUAUUUUUUAAAAAAGAAGUGCCUUCUAAGAAAGUUGCUUUCUGAAAUGUUGUUGAUU
Molecule: long non-coding RNA, 1115 nt
Filed under: Ovis aries (sheep)
Lineage: Eukaryota; Metazoa; Chordata; Mammalia; Artiodactyla; Bovidae
Description: lncRNA (ENSOARG00000026726.1)
Source: RNAcentral